RNAcentral lists this ribosomal RNA (254 nucleotides) under uncultured bacterium. RNAcentral describes it as "partial 16S ribosomal RNA". It matches the Rfam family "Bacterial small subunit ribosomal RNA", at positions 524 to 776 of the family's 1533-position model. The record is from RNAcentral.
UACGUAGGGUGCGAGCGUUGUCCGGAAUUAUUGGGCGUAAAGAGCUUGUAGGCGGUUUGUUGCGUCGGCUGUGAAAUCCCGAGGCUCAACCUCGGGUCUGCAGUCGAUACGAGCAAACUAGAGUGUUGCAGGGGAGACUGGAAUUCCUGGUGUAGCGGUGAAAUGCGCAGAUAUCAGGAGGAACACCGGUGGCGAAGGCGGGUCUCUGGGCAACAACUGACGCUGGAGGAGCGAAAGCGUGGGGAGCGAACAGG